UACGGAGGGUGCAAGCGUUAUCCGGAUUCACUGGGUUUAAGGGGUGCGUAGGUGGGCUUGUAAGUCAGUGGUGAAAUCUCCGUGCUUAACAUGGAAACUGCCAUUGAUACUAUAGGUCUUGAAUUAUCUGGAGGUUAGCGGAAUAUGUCAUGUAGCGGUGAAAUGCUUAGAUAUGACAUAGAACACCAAUUGCGAAGGCAGCUGGCUACAGGUACAUUGACACUGAGGCACGAAAGCGUGGGGAUCAAACAGG
Molecule: ribosomal RNA, 253 nt
Filed under: uncultured bacterium
Lineage: Bacteria
Description: partial 16S ribosomal RNA
Rfam family: Bacterial small subunit ribosomal RNA
Source: RNAcentral